Molecule: ribosomal RNA, 514 nt
Filed under: Escherichia coli
Lineage: Bacteria; Pseudomonadati; Pseudomonadota; Gammaproteobacteria; Enterobacterales; Enterobacteriaceae
Also listed under: 6 other names
Description: bacterial SSU rRNA
Rfam family: Bacterial small subunit ribosomal RNA
Source: RNAcentral
GUGAGACAGGUGCUGCAUGGCUGUCGUCAGCUCGUGUUGUGAAAUGUUGGGUUAAGUCCCGCAACGAGCGCAACCCUUAUCCUUUGUUGCCAGCGGUCCGGCCGGGAACUCAAAGGAGACUGCCAGUGAUAAACUGGAGGAAGGUGGGGAUGACGUCAAGUCAUCAUGGCCCUUACGACCAGGGCUACACACGUGCUACAAUGGCGCAUACAAAGAGAAGCGACCUCGCGAGAGCAAGCGGACCUCAUAAAGUGCGUCGUAGUCCGGAUUGGAGUCUGCAACUCGACUCCAUGAAGUCGGAAUCGCUAGUAAUCGUGGAUCAGAAUGCCACGGUGAAUACGUUCCCGGGCCUUGUACACACCGCCCGUCACACCAUGGGAGUGGGUUGCAAAAGAAGUAGGUAGCUUAACCUUCGGGAGGGCGCUUACCACUUUGUGAUUCAUGACUGGGGUGAAGUCGUAACAAGGUAACCGUAGGGGAACCUGCGGUUGGAUCACCUCCUUACCUUAAAGAA